UACGUAGGGGGCGAGCGUUGUCCGGAUUUAUUGGGCGUAAAGAGCUCGUAGGCGGUUUGGUAAGUUGGAUGUGAAAUCUCCAGGCUCAACUUGGAGGGGUCAUUCGAUACUGCCAUGACUAGAGUUCGGUAGGGGAGUGUGGAAUUCCUGGUGGAGCGGUGAAAUGCGCAGAUAUCAGGAGGAACACCUGUAGCGAAGGCGGCACUCUGGGCCGGAACUGACGCUGAGGAGCGAAAGCGUGGGGAGCGAACAGG
This 254-nucleotide ribosomal RNA is filed under the name uncultured bacterium. Its description in RNAcentral is "partial 16S ribosomal RNA". It matches the Rfam family "Bacterial small subunit ribosomal RNA", at positions 524 to 776 of the family's 1533-position model. The record is from RNAcentral.